UUAUAGUGAAUUUGAACAUGAUGGCUUGAAAAUAUCAUAUGGGAACUGGAAUUGAAUACGUAUUGUGAGCAAGUUAACUGGGUUUGAAUAAAACGAGUUUUAAUAAGGAAGUUCGGACAGGAUCACAACAGAAACCAUGUAUACCAUUCAAAAGAAAAUUGAGUUUUUCAAGAAAUUCAUUGAUUUGAUAUUAAAGAGUCAUCGCUUUGUAAAAACGCGGUUUACAAUUCAAAGAUCAAGUAUAGCGAAAUGAUAUUUGAACUUUUGAUAAAACAACAAAUUGGAAUGAUGCCCUCCUAUGGUCUUCAUAACUCAAUGAUUCACAUGCGCAACAAACAGUGGAUGUGUAACGUGUGGAUUUACCAAGAAAUAGAUUAAUAUUUGCUAUUAUGAAAGAAAUCCUCAUGGUAUGAUGACCAUUAGGGGGAGUAGAAAUGCGAAAGUCAACUCGUUAUAGGCAGAAGUCAGAAUUGCAACGAAAGGAAUAUAAGAACUUUAUCUGGAAUUUAGUGUGAUAACCGUUGUUAAGUGACAUUACCAAGGAAUGUCGGAUGAAAUAAAAUGAAAUAGGGGAUUUGCAAAGGUAUAUGACUUCUUUUGUAGUGCUAAUAAUUAUGACUAUGAUUAGACUGUGCACCGAUGGUUGUGAAAUAUUGUUCCAAUGUACCUCAGCGAUAUUCAGAUCGUUUGUAAUAUCAUGUGGCAAAGUGCCGCUUUUUGAUUAGUAGUUCUUUUACUGACGGAAUUAGUAUUGGUGUCAUCGUGCCCAAUUUAUAUUUUCCAAAGGUCUUGCCUUAGAAGUCGUGUGUGAUAAACUUUGACGUCUUGUGGACGUAAAAUUUUAAGUUUCAUGUUUUAUGAUAACGCAUUGGUAAUUCUUAUAUUUUUUGGAUGGUGUUUCAACUUAAAGGGUUUCCAUUGUUUAUUUUGUCACACGAAUUACGAGACAAAUGAUCAAACGAAAUAA
Molecule: long non-coding RNA, 967 nt
Filed under: Helianthus annuus (common sunflower)
Lineage: Eukaryota; Viridiplantae; Streptophyta; Magnoliopsida; Asterales; Asteraceae
Description: hypothetical non coding rna
Source: RNAcentral